CAAUCGAUCCAUUGUCCAUGGAUUCACUAUUCAGGACAUAUUUCGUUCAUUGAGAUAGUCCUAAUUAGUCUCUUUGCCAUUUGAUGUAUAAGAAUCAUCCAUACAUCGAUUCAUUUGUCCUGAAAGAUUUCUUCAAAGAUUGACUUUCAGGGCAUAUUUCCAACAAUCUCCCACUUGCACUAAAGUCAAUCACUAGUGUAUCUCAUACAUCUUGUCGAGAGAGUUUAUGCUCGUAGGUUAACUUGGUUAUGUAUUAAUCUCUUUUAUUAAAAGAGAUUUACUUAUCAAAUGUUUCCAAGACAUUUGAUGAUGUCUCUUUAAUGUGUUCGAAUACUUUGAUGAGACCUUGAUUCCAUGGCUUGAGCUAUCGCCCCAUUACGUCGUAGUACUCUACUAACGACCUUAUGGUUUGGAUUCAAUCAUGGGUUCUAAAAGAACCCCUUUCAUUCAAAACACCUUUUUGAAGCAGUUUCUAAAACUAUAUAUCGGCAUAUAUUUCGUUUGUAUACUUUAUACAAACUUUGCUCCAAGCUUGAGACCAUUGUAGUACAAUACUAACAAUUCAUUCAUAUGAUUAGUACUUCAUCCAUCAUGAAGUUCCAUUUGUUAAAAUGGCUUAUUUUCACUUUGGUUAACAACCUAAGUGAAUGCACGCUUCCAGAGUCCCACUCUGAUGUUUCUUUCUUAAAGGCAAUAAUACUCUAUCAGUUGCUUUGGUUCUGAUCCUGGGAUAUAGUAAUAUCUUAAAGUGAUUAACUCAGUGGUUUCUUCACCUUUGGAUAUCUACUUCACAAGUCAACACAUGUGUCCCUUUUUUGUGAUUUUAUGACACAUUCAUUAUAAGGGUUAUGAAAGUGAUUUCUUAUCACAUAGGAAAAUGCUUUCUUAAAUCUUCAACAUUUGAGAUUUAAUUCCCAUAUAACAUUAUUGAGAUAGCCUUGCUAUAUCAGUAAGUCCAAUUUCAAGUCUAUACUUCAAAAUUGACUGUGUCAUGUUUUGUCAUUUUCGAGUAACAUCUAUGUUUCAUCAAGUCUAUCAAAUAGACUUUAUUCACAUCUUGUUGCUCAAAUUAUGACAUCACUCCCACUGGCCUUGUUGUAACUUAGCAUUCAUUCAAAAAUAACACUUAUAUUUUCUUGAUUUGAAUGCGUGUUGCUCCCACUAACUUGUCUUGGAUCCAUUGAGAAUUAUUGAGAUCCAUUAGCUUAUUGAUGAUGUUCUCAACAAUUUUGAGACCAUCAACAACCCUAGUUAACACAAGUUAUUUAAAUGAAUCACAUACAAAAGAAUUCCUUCUAAAGUAAUUCCUUUUGAAUAUGUGACUUGUUUUAUCAAGUCUAUUCAUUUAAUUAUACGAUGUCAUACACCAUACUACAAGUUUUAGUCACACUAAGACCUUUUAAUGUAGUGAUAUAAGAAUUAUCUAAGUCUUUAGUGGAAGCAUGGCUCCUACUAAGGAUAUAGAUACUCAACCAUUCCUUCUAGGUGGUUGAUAUAAUUCUCUAUCAAAACUACAUAGAGCAAUAUCGUUACAUGAGAUGUUGAAUUUGGAUUGUCUUGUUGUUAAACCAUAUGUUGUGACUCAUUUUGAAACUUAUUCCCUUUUGUUUCAUCAACUUGUCCAUAUGCUUUGUCAUUAGCAUGUUCUCAUAAAAGAGAAUGAUGGACAACUCCCAACAUAUAACCAUUUUAUGCUAGGUUGACGAAACC
This 1710-nucleotide long non-coding RNA is filed under the name Malus domestica (apple). Its description in RNAcentral is "long non-coding RNA (MDOM_LNC009337)". Lineage: Eukaryota; Viridiplantae; Streptophyta; Magnoliopsida; Rosales; Rosaceae. The record is from RNAcentral.